This 759-nucleotide ribosomal RNA is filed under the name uncultured Prevotella sp. Its description in RNAcentral is "bacterial SSU rRNA". It matches the Rfam family "Bacterial small subunit ribosomal RNA", at positions 28 to 776 of the family's 1533-position model. Lineage: Bacteria; Pseudomonadati; Bacteroidota; Bacteroidia; Bacteroidales; Prevotellaceae. The record is from RNAcentral.
GAUGAACGCUAGCUACAGGCUUAACACAUGCAAGUCGCAGGGUAACAUGAGGAAAGCUUGCUUUCCUUGAUGACGACUGGCGCACGGGUGAGUAACGCGUAUCCAACCUUCCCAUAACUACGGGAUAACCCGUUGAAAGACGGCCUAAUACCGUAUGACAUCGUUUGCUGACAUCAAAUAACGAUUAAAGGUUUAGCGGUUAUGGAUGGGGAUGCGUCUGAUUAGCUUGUUGGCGGGGUAACGGCCCACCAAGGCAACGAUCAGUAGGGGUUCUGAGAGGAAGGUCCCCCACAUUGGAACUGAGACACGGUCCAAACUCCUACGGGAGGCAGCAGUGAGGAAUAUUGGUCAAUGGGCGAGAGCCUGAACCAGCCAAGUAGCGUGCAGGAUGACGGCCCUAUGGGUUGUAAACUGCUUUUAUGUGGGGAUAAAGUGCGUGACGUGUCAUGCAUUGCAGGUACCACAUGAAUAAGGACCGGCUAAUUCCGUGCCAGCAGCCGCGGUAAUACGGAAGGUCCGGGCGUUAUCCGGAUUUAUUGGGUUUAAAGGGAGCGUAGGCUGUCUAUUAAGCGUGUUGUGAAAUUUACCGGCUCAACCGGUGGCUUGCAGCGCGAACUGGUCGACUUGAGUAUGCAGGAAGUAGGCGGAAUUCAUGGUGUAGCGGUGAAAUGCUUAGAUAUCAUGACGAACUCCGAUUGCGCAGGCAGCUUACUGUAGCAUAACUGACGCUGAUGCUCGAAAGUGCGGGUAUCAAACAGG